UCACCUUGGUCAGUCCAUCUAAACCGCUCACUUGACUUUCACAGAAAUGAUUAUUGUUAUUAUUGUUCUUUUUUUAGUGUUAUUAUUUCAUCUCUUCUAUUCUCUAGGUAACCCUUCUUUCAUUCACAGUCUUCCUGUAGUUUGCACAUACUUAAUCUUUUAUAUUCUGCACUACCUAAUAAAGUAUCCAUCUAUCCAUCGAUCUAUCUAUCCAUCUAUCUAGUCUAUCUGUAGUAUAACUACAUGGGACAGAUCAGGGGGGGCUCACUCCAGCCUAUCCAAUGACAGUGAAAUUACUAAAAUGAUACAACUUAUGCAGAUAUGCUGUACAUGUUAAAUUGGAUGCAGAACAUGACAGAAGAAAAAUAAAAAUGAAUGUAUUAUUCAUAAAGUUAAAGGCUGUGUUGUGUUACUGCUCAUAAAUGGCUGUGUUGUGUGUGACAACCUCAACACUCAGUUAACUGUUCAAUGGAAAGUAGGGGUCGGAGCCACUCCGUGUACUUCUACACUAACAUUAAUCCUUGUUUUAUGUUUUAUGUUUGUCCACUGAGAAUUAACAAAGUCUAUCAUACAUGUCCACAAGUCUGAGGUUUUAAAAAAAUAGUAUAAAAUUAAAUAUUAUUUAGGUUAUUCUGGAUUUUCUGUCCUUCUUGAUUUUCAAUAAUUUUUGAACAUUGUUCUCAAAAGUGCAGUUGGACCUUGUUAUUUCUCAGUUGACAUCAUAUUAAUGCACUGUUUCUUAUCAUAAAAGGUUCUUAUCUAUAUUUACAUUGUAAAACGGACUAUGUGAAGUGUGAUUGAAUAUGUCCAUGCGAUUUGCAACCUAGCGAUUGUUUAAAAGGUUAAAAUUUCAUGUCGUUGUUUUAUAAUCUGAAUAUGAACUGUGAAGUUAUGCCAGUGCACAACAGCAUAUUAUUACUUUCCAUUUCGGCAUCACAAGCAUGUGAGGAAAUGUUACCAACAUUACCAUUUUAAAAGAAAUAUGUCAGAAGUUUCAUUCCA
Clupea harengus (Atlantic herring) is the source of this 1002-nucleotide long non-coding RNA. NCBI's taxonomy places the organism in Eukaryota, Metazoa, Chordata, Actinopteri, Clupeiformes, Clupeidae. The record is from Ensembl.